CCUACGGGAGGCAGCAGUAGGGAAUAUUGCUCAAUGGGGGAAACCCUGAAGCAGCAACGCCGCGUGGAGGAUGAAGGUUUUCGGAUUGUAAACUCCUUUUGUUAGAGAAGAUAAUGGCGGUAUCUAACGAAUAAGCACCGGCUAACUCCGUGCCAGCAGCCGCGGUAAUACGGAGGGUGCAAGCGUUACUCGGAAUCACUGGGCGUAAAGAGCGCGUAGGCGGGAUAGCAAGUCAGAUGUUAAAUCCUAUGGCUUAACCAUAGAACUGCAUUUGAAACUGUUAUUCUAGAGUAUGGGAGAGGUAGGUGGAAUGCUUGGUGUAGGGGUAAAAUCCGUAGAGAUCAAGAGGAAUACUCAUUGCGAAGGCGACCUGCUAGAACAUAACUGACGCUGAUGCGCGAAAGCGUGGGUAGCAAACAGGAUUAGAUACCCCUGUAGUC
Molecule: ribosomal RNA, 440 nt
Filed under: uncultured bacterium
Lineage: Bacteria
Description: partial 16S ribosomal RNA
Rfam family: Bacterial small subunit ribosomal RNA
Source: RNAcentral